CUCCUGAGAAAUGUUUGCAAUUGUAAGGUGUCUCUCUCACCCAGGUUUACCCGCAUUCGCAAACUAUGGCGACAAACAACCACAGCAGAAGCAUGUCCAGAUUCUUUCAGAUAUAUUACAAAAUCCUGCAAAGGGGAUGGCUAAUCCAGAGGAUAAGAAGCUCAGAAAAAUACUGGAAUAAGACUGUAAGAGAGAAUCCGUGAUUUGAGGACCAAGAAAGACCAUGAGAGCUGAAAGGCAUUGUAUGGCCCUGAUUCCAAUCAGAACUCUGCUAACAAGUAGCUUCCGUUCCCGAAGCUUAAUAUUAACAAUAUUAACUGUCUCAAAUAAUUUUGCACCUGUUCACUUUUCCUCACAAUUAUAUUAAAAUCAACUUGCAUACCUGG
This is a non-coding RNA of Chlorocebus sabaeus (green monkey), 386 nucleotides long. NCBI's taxonomy places the organism in Eukaryota, Metazoa, Chordata, Mammalia, Primates, Cercopithecidae. The record is from RefSeq and is a predicted model, not a curated record.